This 253-nucleotide ribosomal RNA is filed under the name uncultured bacterium. RNAcentral's name for it is "partial 16S ribosomal RNA". It matches the Rfam family "Bacterial small subunit ribosomal RNA", at positions 524 to 776 of the family's 1533-position model. The record is from RNAcentral.
UACAGAGGGGGCAAGCGUUGUUCGGAAUUACUGGGCGUAAAGGGCGCGUAGGCGGCCGCCUAAGUCAGACGUGAAAUCCCUCGGCUCAACCGGGGAACUGCGUCUGAUACUGGGUGGCUUGAAUCCGGGAGAGGGAUGCGGAAUUCCGGGUGUAGCGGUGAAAUGCGUAGAUAUCUGGAGGAACACCGGUGGCGAAGGCGGCAUCCUGGACCGGCAUUGACGCUGAGGCGCGAAAGCCAGGGGAGCAAACGGG